Paramuricea clavata is the source of this 1321-nucleotide non-coding RNA. Lineage: Eukaryota; Metazoa; Cnidaria; Anthozoa; Malacalcyonacea; Plexauridae. The record is from the annotation of a GenBank genome assembly.
UAAACAAACCUAAGAUAGCCCUGCUGCUAGGGUCACCCUAUCUGUUUGACAGGGUAACCCUACCCCUAGGGUAACCCUAGCGCGCAUGUAAACGUUUCCUAUAAAACAUAUUGAACUGAAGUAGGGUAACCCGCUUACUAGGGUAACCCUUCUGCUAGGUAACUACCUAUAUGUGUCCACGAAAUAAAACAAUCGUUGAAGAGCCUUGAAUGACAGAAAAAUAUCGAGCAGCAUUAGGAGGUUUAAAAACUGAUUAUUGGGCUCAAUGAAAAUCCACCCCAUCAAAUGGUCCGCCCCUAAUACAUAAUAUUUCUAAAAUCCAUAUAUAGAUUAGUCGUCGCAUGCAAAUCAGCCAUUUCUACGUGUGAACCUCUUAGGUUUAUAAUUAAAACGGAGAUUAUUUUCAUUAUAAAACAACAAGUCAGCACUAUUUAAAGUACGAAAAUGUCAGCAAGUUAAUGUCAUCAUCAUUUAAUUCUGCCAAACAGAAACUCCAAAACUAAGGCGCAUUUUUACAAUAUUUCCAAAAGUUUAAGUUUCCCGAGAAAGACAGCGUAUAGCCAUCAUACAUAAGUAUCAAAUUAAAUUCCAUUGCUAAAAAUUCGAACGGGUGAAAACAUAUUCCUUUCACAGAUAUAAGGCUGGUAGCCUGGUAUACUUUAAUUUAGGGUAUUAUUAUUAGUUGCGGUAGUAAUGAUGUGUUUAUAAAAUGCUCCGUCGUCCGUCGUCCGCCCGCCUUUUAUCUACAGCCUCACAUACCAUAGCCCCAGGUGGUCUUCCUACUUAGACGCUCAUCUCUACUAACUUUACUUUUAUAUUUUCACUUUUAUAUUUUCACUUCUAUAUUUUCACUUUUAUAUUUUCACUUUUAUAUUUCACUUUUAUAUUUUCACUUUUAACUUUUAUAUUUUCACUUCUAUAUUUUCACUUUUAUAUUUUCACUUUUAUAUUUUCACUUUUAACUUUUAUAUUUUCACUUUUAUAUUUUUACUUUAAUAUUUUUACUUUUAUAUUUUAACUUUUACAGUUUUAGGCACAAUUAACUUAUUUGACAGUAAGAAAGUUUUUAGGCCGUGCGUAUAAAGAGGGUUACAUGCGCGAAAGCUGGAUUCGGUUUUAGUGAUACGCAGUGGAAUUCCGGCCAUGUCAACAGCCGACAAUAUCGGUUGUCUGGAAAACGCGUGCACGUACACGCGUACACGUACACGCGUACAUGGAAAACGCGUACAUGGAAAACGCGUACAUGGAAAACGCGUACAUGGAAAACGCGUACAUGGAAAACGCGUACAUGGAAAACGCGUACAAUGUUUAUUUGUAACGU